GUGCUCACUUCUGCAGCAGAUGUACUAAAAUUGGAACAACACAGAGUAGAUUAGCAUAGCCCCUGCACAAGGAUGAUAUGCAAAAUUUUGAAACAUUCCAUUUUUUU
RNAcentral lists this small nuclear RNA (107 nucleotides) under Salvator merianae (Argentine black and white tegu). The record is from RNAcentral. Lineage: Eukaryota; Metazoa; Chordata; Lepidosauria; Squamata; Teiidae.